Oncorhynchus tshawytscha (Chinook salmon) is the source of this 704-nucleotide long non-coding RNA. RefSeq lists it as uncharacterized. The transcript has 3 exons. The record is from RefSeq and is a predicted model, not a curated record. Lineage: Eukaryota; Metazoa; Chordata; Actinopteri; Salmoniformes; Salmonidae.
UCAGACUACUGGCUGUAAACGAACGAGUGCUGCGCAAUACUGGCUGUAUUCAAGGCUCAGCCAAUCGUAACAGCAGAAUGCUGCACGCGACCGAAGAGAGAAGCAACAGCCAAUUAGCUAGUUACAGCAUGAGCGCGCGCUCUGGAAAGACAGCAGAGAAUAGAACAGCAGCGCGCCCCCUGAACGAUAACGAAGAGGUCAGUGAGAAGCCUGACCACGGAGACCGGGCAACGAUAAAAGACCGUCGGAAUAUUCGGUAGAGAUCCGAUAGACCAGAAGGCUGCAAUUAACAUCCAUGCCAAACGGUGGAGCUGCUCGAUAGCAAACCAAGCCUGCGGCCAAACGGAGAAGGUAAACACACCACAACACGCAGGGCCUCCGGAUACCACCAUAGCUUGCUGUAAAAUAGUUCAAGAUCUGAUUUCUUCAAGUACAGUUUUGUUUUUGUUGGGGACCGGUUGGCUGACAACGUCAUGAAAAUGAAGCGCAUGCACCGAUGAGACCGGAAGGUGUAUGUUAUGAUUCUGAACGGUCAGAUAGCUAGCAACUGUGACCUACUGUUGGAGCAUCCUACUGGGGGACACACUUGUUUCUACAACGAGAGGACUUGAAUCUGACCUUUGUUGUGACAGGUUGUGCAAUGUUAGAUUCUGUUGUCACGAGUUAAGUUGUUAAGAAUAACUGGAUGAAUGUAAUAAAGACGA